CCCCCCCCCCCUAGAGACAUAGACCUGUCUACUCCCUUUACGGUACCAUACUGUGAGAAGUCUUCAUAUCUUUACUUUGGAAGUCAACGGUAAAAGUUUAUUGUCGCAUGUUAGUUGUUAGCCUGCAGGUCAAAAGAAAGACAGUGACAGUGUUUGCCUGCAGGUCAAAAGAAAGACAGUGACAGUGUUUGCCUGCAGGUCAAAAGAAAGACAGUGACAGUGUUUGCCUGCAGGUCAAAAGAAAGACAGUGACAGUGUUUGCCUGCAGGUCAAAAGAAAGACAGUGACAGUGUUUGCCUGCAGGUCAAAAGAAAGACAGUGACAGUGUUAACCUGCAGGUCAAAAGAAAAACAGUGACAGGAUAUAACCUUACUUCUUUUUCCCCUGCCUUUAGAUUACGUACACGUAAUUAUUUUGGUGUGUGAAAAACUGAAAUCAUAUUAUUAAACAUUUGCUAUAAAUUCA
Long non-coding RNA from Aplysia californica (California sea hare), 465 nucleotides. RefSeq lists it as uncharacterized. The transcript is spliced from 2 exons. Lineage: Eukaryota; Metazoa; Mollusca; Gastropoda; Aplysiida; Aplysiidae. The record is from RefSeq and is a predicted model, not a curated record.